This 636-nucleotide long non-coding RNA is filed under the name Homo sapiens (human). RNAcentral describes it as "HSALNT0258088". Lineage: Eukaryota; Metazoa; Chordata; Mammalia; Primates; Hominidae. The record is from RNAcentral.
GCCAGACAUCAAUACUGUAAACCAACGACAGGAGCCUGAGUCAGGGAACAGAGGGUGGUCCUAAGAGCUGAGCAUGGGCCCAGCAAGCAACUAGCAAAAAAAAAAAAAAAACAAAAAAAAAAACAACUAGGGGCCUCAGCCCUACAACCUCAGGGAACUGAAUUCUCACAACAAACUGAAUGAACUUAAAAGAGGACCUCAAGUUCCAGAUGAGAAUGCAGGCCCGGGGGCCCCUCAACUUCAGGCUCGUGAGACCCUGAGCAGAACCUGGGGCCUGGAUUCCUGGACCAUGGAAAAUAAACUCUUGUAGCCACUGCACCUCUAGCUGUAACUCAGCCUGAGCCUGGCACAAGGAGCAGCUGUUGGAGCAAAGAAGCCAUCGCCAGUCCUCCGCGGAAGCUUCCCUGUAGCUUCCAGCUUCCAGUGGCGGGGAGCUCACCGCCUUGCAAGCCGCCCUCCCCCAGCUCCCGCGUAUGCUGAAUCCAGUCUGGAGCCCUCAAAGCAAGCCCAGAGCUGUCUCCCGUAGAGGGAACGCCUUUCCUGGAGAGCAGAGAGACUGCUGAGCCUGCCCUUAGAAUGGCCCAAUCCCAGAGGUCAAGUCCUGGGGCUCCCUGGAGCCUUCUGUUUCCUUUCCUG